RNAcentral lists this signal recognition particle RNA (148 nucleotides) under Chlorocebus sabaeus (green monkey). Its description in RNAcentral is "Metazoan signal recognition particle RNA". It matches the Rfam family "Metazoan signal recognition particle RNA". From Rfam's summary of the family: The signal recognition particle (SRP) is a universally conserved ribonucleoprotein. It is involved in the co-translational targeting of proteins to membranes. The record is from Rfam by way of RNAcentral. Lineage: Eukaryota; Metazoa; Chordata; Mammalia; Primates; Cercopithecidae.
GCCAGGCAUGGUAGCACAUGCCUGUAGUCCUAGCUACUCAGGAGGCUGAGGCAGGAGGAUCACUUGAGCCCAGGAGUUCGAGACUGCAGUGAGCUAUGAUUGAGCCACUGCACUCCAGCCUGGGCAACAAAGGAAGAUCCUGUCUCAA